CGGGGAGAAUCCCGGGAGCAGCUGUCGCUGCCAGCCAGCGCGAGCGCUGCUCCGCCCCUGCCCGGGGAAUUCCACCUUCCCUGCAGUGCAACGCAGCCCGGGCGGGGCGCGGCCAGCCGUGCUGCAAGAGCUGCUCAGGCAGGUGGAAGACUGAAGCAGCACAGAAUCCUGGUGCCUGAAGAAUGGCUAUAGCAGUGCUUUAGUGGAGGGAGAGCAUUGGGUGCAGCCCCAUGAGAGUUCAAACAGCAAAGAAAUGAAAAAAAUCGUCAUGUCAGCUAUCUUUAUUUCCCUCUUCCAGAAUUCAAACUGAGGGGAUGUGCCCUUCUGCAUGUAGCUUGUGUAGGGGCAAUUAGUAAAGACUGUGUAUUGUGAUGCUUCACAAUGGCCCACUUAGUCUUGGUAAUCCUCCUUGAUGGGCCAGGGGAACCUCUCCUCCUGUCUGAGUUCAAAGCAGGCAUUUUUACAAUUAUAAAGCAAAACUUUCAUAUUACCUUAUAGCAUGGAAUACAGACAUUACAAGUAAGAUUAAUGCAUGUAGCCACUUACAAGUAUUUUAUAGAGUGUAAACACUAAACACAUUCUUACAAGUUGUCAUAAAUAUAAAGGGAAGGGUAAACACCUUUAAAUCCCUCCUGGCCAGAGAAAAAACCCUUUCACCUGUAAAGGGUUAAGAAGCUAAGACAACCUCUCUGGCACCUGACCAAAAUGACCAAUGAGGAGACAAGAUGCUUUCAAAGCUGGUGGGGGACAAAGGGUUCUCUCUGGCUGUGUGUUGCUUUUGCUAGGACCAGAGCAUGAAUGCAGGUCAGAACUCCUGUAAAGAGUUAGUAAGCAAUCUGGUUAGAUAUGCGAUAGAUUCUGUUCUGUUCAAAUAGCUGAUAAAAUAAGUUGUGCUGAAUGGAAUAUAUAUUCCUGUUUUUGUGUCUUUUUGUAACUUAAGGUUUAGCCUAGAGGGAUUCUCUAUGUUUUGAAUCUGAUUACCCUGUAAGGUAUUUACCAUCCUCAUUUUACAGAGGUGAUUCUUUUACUUUUUCUUUAAUUAAAAUUCUUCUUUUAAGAACCUGA
Long non-coding RNA from Caretta caretta (loggerhead turtle), 1065 nucleotides. RefSeq lists it as uncharacterized. NCBI's taxonomy places the organism in Eukaryota, Metazoa, Chordata, Testudines, Cheloniidae. The record is from RefSeq and is a predicted model, not a curated record.